Brachypodium distachyon (stiff brome) is the source of this 1063-nucleotide long non-coding RNA. RefSeq lists it as uncharacterized. The transcript is spliced from 2 exons. The record is from RefSeq and is a predicted model, not a curated record. Lineage: Eukaryota; Viridiplantae; Streptophyta; Magnoliopsida; Poales; Poaceae.
CCGUAGGGAGGCAGCGUCGGGGUGUUGGAGGAGGAGGAGUACUGGUCCAGCAGCUCAUCGAUCGUCAGCACCCUCGCUCCUGUUCAAUCAACAAACCGUAAGUUAAAUUUGACAUAAGUGCCAUAGCUACCCGUGCUAGCAAGGAAGCAUGACAAAAGAAAAAAGGGACGCACCGCAAUGCGCCGUGAAGAACGCUAGUGCAACGAUGGCGAAGACGAGACGGUGUGGUGGCCAUGAGAAGACCUUGCCUUCCUCCAUGGCGCACGGGGAGGUGCUCUCUUUACAAGGACAGACAAUGGAGCCGGGGGUCGUUAUUAUAGCCAUGUUGCAAAAGAAAAGGUUGAAGAAGUCGGCAUUGUAAUGUAAAGCUACUGUAGUAGGAAGAGCAUCCAGUGAAGUAAAAGAGAGGCAUGAGUGAGAGCUUUUGUGCUUGGUAACACUGACCGAUCGCCGGAGGAGAGCAUGGAAAUGAUUGGAUUCUUUGGCGAUUUUGAGGUUUUCGCUCUGGCUUUUCCCCUUUUGCAGUUUUGGCACAGAUGCUUGCUUGUUGCCCAGAGAAAUGGAGAGGAUCCUCCUCUACUCCCACUUUCUUCUUUUCUUGCUUGGGAUCCACUCAAGCACAAAUCAGCGUUAGCAGACCAUGCACCAUGUGUUUAUACAUGUCAGAACCAUGUUAAGGGUGCAGAAUUCUUACGGCUUUUCAGCCAUGUUUCCCAUAUAAUCGGGGCCAGUUUUCUUAUGAAAAUACAGGAGACGCAAAAAUUUAACAUCUGAUGGCGCAAAGCAAUGGUCAACAGUGCAAUUCUGGAAUUUCGAUGAAUGAUUGAUAAGUACACAACGGGAAACAGACAGUUAAAAGGCCAGCAAUUCUCAUGAACAAAUCAUUAAACUGGUCACAUAUUCCUCAUUUGCUUUGCUACCAAUGAAUACAAAUGUAACACAUCAUGCUACAGUCGGUGAAAAACUACCAGUAAUGCCCUAAUGCAUCAUCAGGUUUACACAGUUGUACCCAUAUCUCAUCAGGUCACAAUGGAACAAAUGAUUUCUAGGCUAACAAUUUUUC